CUCCGAAUGCCAUGUACUUAUACUCGGGAGUCAGACUGCGAGUGAUAAGAUCCGUAGUCGAAAGGGAAACAGCCCAGACCACCAGUUAAGGUCCCCAAAUAUAUGGUAAGUGGAAAAGGAUGUGGGGUUGCUUAGACAACCAGGAUGUUGGCUUAGAAGCAGCCACCAUUGAAAGAGUGCGUAAUAGCUCACUGGUCGAGUGACCCCGCGCCGAAAAUGUACCGGGGCUAAACAUAUUACCGAAACUGUGGAUGAACCUCUUUAGAGGUUCGUGGUAGGAGAGCGUUCUAAGGGCGGUGAAGUCAGACCGGAAGGACUGGUGGAGCGCUUAGAAGUGAGAAUGCCGGUAUGA
This 352-nucleotide ribosomal RNA is filed under the name Escherichia coli. RNAcentral describes it as "partial 23S ribosomal RNA". It matches the Rfam family "Bacterial large subunit ribosomal RNA", at positions 954 to 1305 of the family's 2925-position model. Lineage: Bacteria; Pseudomonadati; Pseudomonadota; Gammaproteobacteria; Enterobacterales; Enterobacteriaceae. The record is from RNAcentral.